This 404-nucleotide unclassified non-coding RNA is filed under the name soil metagenome. Its description in RNAcentral is "partial contains 5.8S ribosomal RNA, internal transcribed spacer 2, and large subunit ribosomal RNA". The stretch from base 1 to 122 matches the Rfam family "5.8S ribosomal RNA", at positions 35 to 154 of the family's 154-position model. The record is from RNAcentral.
GAUGAAGAACGUAGCAAAAUGCGAUACAUGGUGUGAAUUGCAGAAUCCCGUGAACCAUCGAGUUUUUGAACGCAAGUUGCGCCCGCAGCCUUUUGGCCGAGGGCACGUCUGCCUGGGCGUCACGCAUCGCGUCGCCCCCCACAAUUCUCCGUAAAGGGAACGUGUGUUUUGGGGGCGGAUAUUGGUCUCCCGUGCUCAUGGCGUGGUUGGCCGAAAUAGGAGUCCUUUCGAUGGACGCACGAACUAGUGGUGGUCGUAAAAACCCUCUUCUUUUGUUUCGUGCUGUUGCUCGCAAGGUAAACUCUUUAAAAACCCCAAUGUGUCGUCUCUUGACGACGCUUCGACCGCGACCCCAGGUCAGGCGGGACUACCCGCUGAGUUUAAGCAUAUCAAUAAGCGGAGGA